UCAUGUAAUCUAUUUCAUUAACUGAUAAAAUAUUGUCACCUUGCUUUAAUGUCCCCUACUGGACAGCUUAUACAUUUCAAGUCCUUCAAUCUAAGAAUUAUCUAAACCUUUGUUGGGUAUUUUCGUUAUGAUCAUACCAACCAGUAAAAAUAUAGGAAAACCAAACAUGUAAAUUCACUUGCUGCUACUAAAUGAAGAAUUGAUUCAUAUAAUGCCUUGCUUCCAGUUAGGGAUCAGCAUGUCCAGCAACAUCAUCAUCGCUUGAACCGCUUUCAUUAUUGCUGAUUUCAUCCUCUUCACUCUCAUCUUCUGCUGUGCAUUUAAUGUCAUUCUCCUUCUUCGCAUAUCGUUCGCAGUACUCUUUAACUUUUUCGUCAUACUGCUUCCGGUCCUUCAUCAUAAGCGACGCUGCGUCACCAUUAAGGGGGUCGGAAGGGUUGGGAUAAAGGAGAAGCUGGGGAAGAAAAACCUCAAAAACGUUUAAGAGAUCGAACAUCGGACUCCAAGACUGAUUAAUCACAUCUAAGCACACAGAACCAGAUAGUUCGUCAACAUUUGGGUGGAAUAUCUUGUUCACAAAACCAAUUGAAGGAGACUUAUAUGGAUAUGCAUCAGGUAGCUCGACACGGAUUUUCCAAACACCAGUUUCAUAUAAGCUUUCUUUGGGACCAUGGAACUCCACAUUGAAUUCACUGAGUCCG
This 701-nucleotide unclassified non-coding RNA is filed under the name Hevea brasiliensis (rubber tree). The record is from RNAcentral. Lineage: Eukaryota; Viridiplantae; Streptophyta; Magnoliopsida; Malpighiales; Euphorbiaceae.